UACGUAGGGUGCAAGCGUUAAUCGGAAUUACUGGGCGUAAAGCGUGCGCAGGCGGUUAUGUAAGACAGUUGUGAAAUCCCCGGGCUCAACCUGGGAACUGCAUCUGUGACUGCAUAGCUAGAGAACGGUAGAGGGGGAUGGAAUUCCGCGUGUAGCAGUGAAAUGCGUAGAUAUGCGGAGGAACACCGAUGGCGAAGGCAAUCCCCUGGACCUGUACUGACGCUCAUGCACGAAAGCGUGGGGAGCAAACAGG
This 253-nucleotide ribosomal RNA is filed under the name uncultured bacterium. RNAcentral's name for it is "partial 16S ribosomal RNA". It matches the Rfam family "Bacterial small subunit ribosomal RNA", at positions 524 to 776 of the family's 1533-position model. The record is from RNAcentral.